RNAcentral lists this long non-coding RNA (1014 nucleotides) under Oncorhynchus kisutch (coho salmon). Its description in RNAcentral is "lncRNA (ENSOKIG00005000853.1)". Lineage: Eukaryota; Metazoa; Chordata; Actinopteri; Salmoniformes; Salmonidae. The record is from RNAcentral.
AUGAGGAUCCCCAUGGCCACGGUGGUCCCCAACACCCUCUCACCGAUGCAGGGUCUGGGGCCCCGGAUUCACCAUGAGGCCUCCCCCUAUGGGUCCCAGCUUCACCAGCAGCACCAGGCCCACCAGCAGUCCCAACCCCAUCACCAGUCACAUAGUGACAGGCAGCCCCAGUCCCAACCCCAUCACCAGUCACAUAGUGACAGGCAGCCCCAGUCCCAUCACCAGUCACAUAGUGACAGGCAGCCCCAGCCCCAGUCCCAACCCCAUCACCAGUCACAUAGUGACAGGCAGCACCAGUCCCAACCCCACCAUCACCAGUCACAUAGUGACAGGCAGCCCCAGUCCCAACCCCAUCACCAGUCACAUAGUGACAGGCAGACCCAGUCCCAACCCCAUCACCAGUCACAUAGUGACAGGCAGACCCAGUCCCAACCCCAGUCCCAUAGUGACAGGCAGUCCCAGUCCCAACCCCAUCACCAAUCACACAGUAGAGACAGGCAGCCCCAGUCCCAACCCCAGCCCCAUAGUGACAGGCAGCACAACAACAGCAGCAGUAGUAAGCUCAGCCGGACUUCCUCUAGUAAGAGCUCUGGCAGCAGCAACAUUCACAACAGUAGCAGUAUUACCAGUAGUAGUGCUGGGACUGGCAUUAGCAGCAGCCUACCAGUGGACUCCACCCAAGCACUUAUAAUGCAGUCCCCCCGCACAGCCCCCCACCCUCCCCAGACCUCAGUCCCUCCCCCCUCUCCUCUCAUAGACAACAGCACUUUGGACAUCCAGAAGUCACUGUUCAGAAGCCCUCCCUGCUCCUCCACCACCACCACCUCUUCCUCCCUGUCGGUGUCCCAUCCUUUCUACAUGAGCAGCAUGGCCUCUGAGCACCGCUCCCCGGUGCGGUCCGGCAGCAGCACCCACAAAGCCAAAGAGCAGGGCAGCAGCUCAGAGCACAGGAAUGUGGAGAGGAAUGGGGAAAGGAAGCGGAGCCAGUCCCCUUUUAAAGACUUUGUCCUCUGA